Molecule: small RNA, 27 nt
Filed under: Bombyx mori (domestic silkworm)
Lineage: Eukaryota; Metazoa; Arthropoda; Insecta; Lepidoptera; Bombycidae
Description: ovarian small RNA-37979
Source: RNAcentral
UUGGAAAUUUCCGCCACAUGCCUGUUA